AUCCCCUCAAAAUAACUCAACACACAGCCAUUAAUGUCUAAACCGCUGACAACAAAAGUGAGUACACCCCCAAGUAAAAAUGUCCAAAUCGGGCCCAAUUAGCCAUUUUCCCUCCCCGGUGUCAUGUGACUUGUUAGUGUUACAAGGUCUCAGGUGUGAAUGGGGAGCAGGUGUGUUAAAUUUGGUGUCAUCGCUCUCACACUCCCUCAUACUGGUCACUGGAAGUUCAACAUGGCACCUCAAGGCAAAGAACUCUGAGGAUGUGAAAAAAAUAAUUGUUGCUCUACAUAAAGAUGACCUAGGCUUUAAGAAGAUUACCAAGACCCUGACACCGAGCUGCAGCACGGUGGCCAAGACCAUACAGCGGUUUAACAGGACAGGUUCCACUCAGAACAGGCCUCGCCAUGGUCGACCAAAGAAGAAGUUGAGUGCACGUGCUCAGCGUCAUAUCCAGAGGUUGUCUUUGGGAAAUAGUGCUGCCAGCAUUGCUGCAAAGGUUGAAGGGGUGGGGGGUCAGCCUGGGCUUUGGACACUGCAGACACAAACACAAAAUCAAGUUUAUAUACGACAAUGUAUUACUCUAAUAGGUUAUUGAUUGUGCAUAUACUAUAUGCAUGUAGAACCCCUACAUGCUUUGCGUUUAAUUUAUGUAAGGAAUAAACAUGCAGUUAAACGAGCUUCAUUUUGGUAAAAUGUUAAUAUGAUGAUGUGUUUGACCUUAUAUACAGCCACAAUACCAACUGUAACAGUGUUGACAGGUUUUUAUUUCCUGAAAAUAACAGUGUGUCAUGAGGUUUCCACUUGAGAGUGACAUGUACAGUGUCCUCCACUAAUAUUGGCACCCUUGGUAAAUAUGAGCAAAGAAGAAAACGUUUUGUUCAAAAAAAAUUCACAAAAAUACUCUGCUCUCAUGGAUAAACAAUUGCAAACACCACAAGUUUAUAAAAAAAUAUUUGUUAAAUGAGUGUACAACAAUUAUUGGCACCCCUAUGAAUCCAUGAGAAAUGUAUUUGAAGUAUAUUCCCCUUGAUAUUUUACUUUUUUGUACACUUGACUUCCUGUUUCACAGGGAUAGGUAACGCAUAAGCCAAAUUCUCUUACUCAUUCAGAACAAUAAGUGAGGCCAAGAUAUAUUCAG
Long non-coding RNA from Ictalurus punctatus (channel catfish), 1138 nucleotides. The record is from Ensembl. Lineage: Eukaryota; Metazoa; Chordata; Actinopteri; Siluriformes; Ictaluridae.